GUAAGGAAUAUUGGACAAUGGGGGGAACCCUGAUCCAGCCAUGCCGCGUGUGUGAAGAAGGCCUUUUGGUUGUAAAGCACUUUAAGCGAGGAGGAGGCUACCGAGAUUAAUACUCUUGGAUAGUGGACGUUACUCGCAGAAUAAGCACCGGCUAACUCUGUGCCAGCAGCCGCGGUAAUACAGAGGGUGCAAGCGUUAAUCGGAUUUACUGGGCGUAAAGCGCGCGUAGGUGGCCAAUUAAGUCAAAUGUGAAAUCCCCGAGCUUAACUUGGGAAUUGCAUUCGAUACUGGUUGGCUAGAGUAUGGGAGAGGAUGGUAGAAUUCCAGGUGUAGCGGUGAAAUGCGUAGAGAUCUGGAGGAAUACCGAUGGCGAAGGCAGCCAUCUGGCCUAAUACUGACACUGAGGUGCGAAAGCAUGGGGAGCAAACAGGAUUAGAAACCCCUGUAGUCC
This 451-nucleotide ribosomal RNA is filed under the name uncultured bacterium. RNAcentral's name for it is "bacterial SSU rRNA". It matches the Rfam family "Bacterial small subunit ribosomal RNA", at positions 354 to 796 of the family's 1533-position model. The record is from RNAcentral.